This 463-nucleotide long non-coding RNA is filed under the name Ursus maritimus (polar bear). RNAcentral describes it as "lncRNA (ENSUMAG00000003340.1)". The record is from RNAcentral. Lineage: Eukaryota; Metazoa; Chordata; Mammalia; Carnivora; Ursidae.
GGAGCAACUGGAAACCACAAACACCCAAACUGGGUAGCAGCAACUUGAACUAAACCGGAGACCUGGCUUAGGGAAAGGAGUCAGUUAAGUUUAGACCGAAUGGUUUAAUCAAGGUAUCAGAACAGACCCAUUAAAGACAGAAAAGAUCUCAAGAAGUGUCUACAGAAAUGUCCUGCAGGAGUGCAAAAAGAGCGGUGGGAGUGUAGAAAGCCCCCUCUCCCCGGCGUCUUUACUUGACCAGCGCUUGCAGGUGAACCCAGAAGGUGUCUUCCCAUCUCUGUUUAAAGAAGUCAUACUCCAGUCUGCAGAGAAAUGCCUGUAUACACAGGGAGUCUUCAAAUUUAUAUCAAGAGGCCUCCAAUGUCAUGCAUCUAAUUACAAUCUAAAUAUAAUCUAAAUAUAAAUAUAGUCAUGCAAUUAUCUAAAUAUGAUAAUGCAAAUUAAUAAAUGCCAUCCCUUCUCA